GCUCAGGGGGGACCUUCUCACUCUCUACAGCUCCUGACAGGAGGUCAUAGUGACGUGGGGGUCUGUUUCUUCUCCUGGGCAACAAGUGGCAGGAUGAGAGGAAAUGGCCUCUCGUUGCACCAGGAAAGGUUCAGAUUGGAUUUUAGGAACAUUUUUUCAUGGAAAGGAUUAUAAAGCCCUUGGGAACGGCACCUGAGAACAUGGUUUAAUGGUGAACAUGGUAGUGCUGGUCAGACUUGCUGAUCUUAAAAGUUUCUUCCAGCCUUCACAAUUCUAUGCAGACUCUGCUCACAAGUUUUCCCUGAGAAGCAAACAAACUGCGAUGUAUAUGGGAUUGGCUGAGCUAAUCCUGUUUGCAGUUCCUCCUCUCUGCUGUAGCACCUGGGCCCAUUCCCUUUGUCUCACUGGCCACCUGGCUCCUUCAGCUGCUUUGUGGCUCUGUUGCUUACCUGUGGAACUGUCUGGGAGGGGACUGACUUGUUUAAACCAUUCACGUGUCUACGUGUGAUGGCUUUUCUGUGAUCCUGAGGGAAUGGUGCAGCACAAACAAUUAAUAAUCAUUUCUGAUCAGAUACAAACUCAUUACAUGUUAAAUGCUCUUCUAAUGAGAAGUGAAGCUCACAUCUCAGAAGACAGAGCCUGUGUUUCUGGUUUAAGGAUGCUAUCCCAGUAAUUCCUCCUGCCACACACAGGCAGGCUGCACAAGUCACUUUCACAGGAGGUCAGAGAGUCAAACAGUGUGACUGGAAUUUUAAAAAGCCAACUGCCUGAAGGUCCAGAGGCAGACUCCAUGUGACAACAACUCAGAACACUGGACAAACAAAGCAAUUGAGGCACUGCUUGCUGGAGAGAACCAGAGAGAAGCCAACUUCACGAGUAUCCACAGAGUCUGACAGAGUAUUGUGUUUACUGUUCUCUCCCUGGCUAAGGCAGGAAAGGACUACAGCUGAAGCAGG
Molecule: long non-coding RNA, 956 nt
Organism: Passer domesticus (house sparrow)
Lineage: Eukaryota; Metazoa; Chordata; Aves; Passeriformes; Passeridae
Exons: 3
Source: RefSeq, a predicted model, not a curated record